CUGAAUAUGGGGGGACCAUCCUCCAAGGCUAAAUACUCCUGACUGACCGAUAGUGAACCAGUACCGUGAGGGAAAGGCGAAAAGAACCCCGGCGAGGGGAGUGAAAAAGAACCUGAAACCGUGUACGUACAAGCAGUGGGAGCACGCUUCGGCGUGUGACUGCGUACCUUUUGUAUAAUGGGUCAGCGACUUAUAUUCUGUAGCAAGGUUAACCGAAUAGGGGAGCCGAAGGGAAACCGAGUCUUAACUGGGCGUUAAGUUGCAGGGUAUAGACCCGAAACCCGGUGAUCUAGCCAUGGGCAGGUUGAAGGUUGGGUAACACUAACUGGAGGACCGAACCGACUAAUGUUGAAAAAUUAGCGGAUGACUUGUGGCUGGGGGUGAAAGGCCAAUCAAACCGGGAGAUAGCUGGUUCUCCCCGAAAGCUAUUUAGGUAGCGCCUCGUGAAUUCAUCUCCGGGGGUAGAGCACUGUUUCGGCAAGGGGGUCAUCCCGACUUACCAACCCGAUGCAAACUGCGAAUACCGGAGAAUGUUAUCACGGGAGACACACGGCGGGUGCUAACGUCCGUCGUGAAGAGGGAAACAACCCAGACCGCCAGCUAAGGUCCCAAAGUCAUGGUUAAGUGGGAAACGAUGUGGGAAGGCCCAGACAGCCAGGAUGUUGGCUUAGAAGCAGCCAUCAUUUAAAGAAAGCGUAAUAGCUCACUGGUCGAGUCGGCCUGCGCGGAAGAUGUAACGGGGCUAAACCAUGCACCGAAGCUGCGGCAGCGACACUAUGUGUUGUUGGGUAGGGGAGCG
This 799-nucleotide ribosomal RNA is filed under the name Escherichia coli. Its description in RNAcentral is "partial 23S ribosomal RNA". It matches the Rfam family "Bacterial large subunit ribosomal RNA", at positions 438 to 1238 of the family's 2925-position model. The record is from RNAcentral. Lineage: Bacteria; Pseudomonadati; Pseudomonadota; Gammaproteobacteria; Enterobacterales; Enterobacteriaceae.